GGAGGUGGUCGGAGGAUCGCCGGCGGGCGGCCCUGCCGCCCGCGGGAGGAAAGUCCGGGCUCCACAGGGCAGAGAGGUCGUUAACGGCGACCCGGGGCAACCCGAGGGAAAGCGCAACAGAAACCACACCGCCGAUGGCUGGUGAUCCGCAGUCCGCUGUGAGAGGCGGAGGGCGGGGAGGCACAGGCAAGGUUGAAAUCGUGGGGUAAGAGCCCACGCGCGACAGCCGGGUGACCGGCGGCGGGGCAAGCCCCUCUCGGAGCAAGCUCGAAUAGGCGCACCGCGAAGGACGGCCCGUCCGAGCAGCGUCACCCGCGUGGUGGCGUUCCGGUGCGCGGGUCGGAGCGCUCGAGCGGCGCAGCAAUGCGCCGCCUAGAUGAAUGAUCCUCGCCGGCUUCGGGGUGACCCGGGGUCGGAACAGAACCCGGCUUACAGACCAUGUCGGAAG
Molecule: RNase P RNA, 448 nt
Filed under: Myxococcales bacterium
Lineage: Bacteria; Pseudomonadati; Myxococcota; Myxococcia; Myxococcales
Description: RNase P RNA component class A
Rfam family: Bacterial RNase P class A
About the family: Ribonuclease P (RNase P) is a ubiquitous endoribonuclease, found in archaea, bacteria and eukarya as well as chloroplasts and mitochondria.
Source: RNAcentral